RNAcentral lists this ribosomal RNA (411 nucleotides) under Verrucomicrobiota bacterium. RNAcentral's name for it is "Verrucomicrobia bacterium partial 16S ribosomal RNA". It matches the Rfam family "Bacterial small subunit ribosomal RNA", at positions 355 to 776 of the family's 1533-position model. Lineage: Bacteria; Pseudomonadati; Verrucomicrobiota. The record is from RNAcentral.
UGGGGAAUCUUGCGCAAUGGGGGAAACCCUGACGCAGCGACGCCGCGUGCGGGAUGAAGGCCUUCGGGUUGUAAACCGCUUUCAGCAGGGACGAGGCCUUAUGGUGACGGUACCUGCAGAAGAAGCUCCGGCUAAAUACGUGCCAGCAGCCGCGGUAAUACGUAUGGAGCAAGCGUUAUCCGGAUUCAUUGGGCGUAAAGCGCUCGUAGGCGGUCUGUUAGGUCGGCAAGUUAAAUCCGGGGGCUCAACCCCCGUCCGCUUCCGAUACCGGCGGACUUGAGUUUGGUAGGGGAAGGUGGAAUUCCUAGUGUAGCGGUGGAAUGAGCAGAUAUUAGGAAGAACACCGGUGGCGAAGGCGGCCUUCUGGGCCAUAACUGACGCUGAGGAGCGAAAGCUAGGGGAGCGAACAGG